CUCAACUUCACCAAAAUGAAAUUCGUGUCGCUCUUGCUCGCUGUGGCGAUGGCUCUGUCUGCCCUGCUGGGGACAGCACGAGCCAUGCCUGAGCCAGAAGCCCUGGCCGACGCCGACCCUUGGGCUCAUGGCGUAGGCUAUGGAGGCUACGGACGAGGACGUUACUACGGAGGAGGAGGCUAUCGCGGAGGCUAUCGCGGAGGCUAUUAUGGACGCGGCCACGGCUGGUGAGACUCCGAACGAUGACUCCUGCCGAAGCUUCUGCUCUCGCUUUACCUGAAGGACGACGAACCGAUUUCCGAUUUUGCUACAUGAAAAUAAACCAAUUUUAAUUUUAUCGAAUCCCUUUUUUUUAAAUACGAUUCCUCAAAUUACGUAGUUGAGUAAGUAAAAUAUGUGUAUUUUAGUACGGCAUUUGAAUUCAUGAAUUAAACUGGAUUGCAACACUUUAAAUACUAAAGUUCAACAAUAUGAUAUCUGACUUACGAUCAAAUAUAAAAUCUGAGAACAUGGACGUCUAAAAUCUGAAGAAAAAAAAAACGAUCAUGGUAUAGAUUUUCAAAUAGGAUAAAUGCAAAAUUCUUAAUCAGGAUGAAGUGAGAGAUCACAACGAUAAGAUAAUCAGCAUAGAAAGGAGAGGGAGACUAGACAUUUUUAAAUAAAGUCUCAUAGACCGAGAAACUAACAAACUAAUGAUAAAAGCAAAACAUUCGAUAUAAAAAGGUCUAGCAACAGUUAAAUUUGAGCACUUAUACUUUAGAAAAGAUAUGAUUGAGAAUGAAUAUCUUCACAAUACAAGCGAUGUAUUUGACCGGUUCAUUAGCUACUUUCUCAAUAUAUACUUAUAAAUAAAAUGUGUACUUGUAUGUAUGU
This 873-nucleotide long non-coding RNA is filed under the name Penaeus chinensis. RNAcentral describes it as "cold-inducible long noncoding RNA". The record is from RNAcentral. Lineage: Eukaryota; Metazoa; Arthropoda; Malacostraca; Decapoda; Penaeidae.